UUUCGCAAUGCCCGAAAGGGUGACGAAGCGACGCCGCGUGUGGGAAGAAGGCCUUCGGGUUGUAAACCACUGUCGGGAGUUAGGAAAUGCAGGUGCGUUAAUAGCGCACUUGCUUGACUAAGGCUCCAGAGGAAGUCACGGCUAACUCUGUGCCAGCAGCCGCGGUAAUACAGAGGUGGCAAGCGUUGUUCGGAAUUAUUGGGCGUAAAGAGCACGUAGGUGGGUUUGUAAGUCAGAUGUGAAAGCCUCCUGUUCAACGGGAGAAUUGCAUCUGAAACUACUGAUCUUGAGUAUAGGAGGGGAGAAUGGAACUUCUGGUGGAGCGGUGAAAUGCGUAGAUAUCAGAAGGAACGCCGGCGGCGAAAGCGAUUCUCUGGCCUAUUACUGACACUCAGUGUGCGAAAGCUAGGGGAGCAAACGGGAUUAGAUACCCCGGUAGUCCUAGCCGUAAACGAUGGGCACUAAGUAGAGGGGUUUU
Molecule: ribosomal RNA, 478 nt
Filed under: uncultured Planctomycetales bacterium
Lineage: Bacteria; Pseudomonadati; Planctomycetota; Planctomycetia; Planctomycetales
Description: bacterial SSU rRNA
Rfam family: Bacterial small subunit ribosomal RNA
Source: RNAcentral